This 552-nucleotide small RNA is filed under the name Pan troglodytes (chimpanzee). RNAcentral describes it as "processed transcript". Lineage: Eukaryota; Metazoa; Chordata; Mammalia; Primates; Hominidae. The record is from RNAcentral.
UUUCAUUUGUGUUGCUGAAUUUCGAAGAGUGAUGGUGGGAGUGUGUGUGGCGGGGGCAGUAUCAACCUCAUCCUUCCCUUGACCGAGACCUUUCACUGCUCCUGGACUUUCAGGGUGUGCUAUCCUUUGCCUCCCCCCAACAACCUGUCUGCUGCCCUAAAAAAAAAAAAAAUUAAAAAAAAAAAGACGGCAACCUAACCGAAGCAUCUCUGGGACGCCACAGAAAUCGUAAUUGAACACCCGCACACAAAAGUAAUCUGUGAGGUGUGUUUUAAAGAAAGAAACAGCUGAAAACUUGAAGACGUGUUUAGAAAUAUACAUAUAUACACACUAUUUUCUUGUGGGAGAUCUCCUUUGGGCAAAGGUAUACAAAUGCUCUCAGUCCAGCCAGACACCAAGCCGAAAGGUUGUGCUGGCUGCAACCGAAAGAUCAAGGACCGGUAUCUUCUAAAGGCACUGGACAAAUACUGGCAUGAAGACUGCCUGAAGUGUGCCUGCUGUGACUGUCGCUUGGGAGAGGCUCUUUGGUGUAACGGGAAACUGCGCUGCCUG